RNAcentral lists this long non-coding RNA (230 nucleotides) under Capsicum annuum. RNAcentral describes it as "long non-coding RNA (CANN_LNC006888)". The record is from RNAcentral. Lineage: Eukaryota; Viridiplantae; Streptophyta; Magnoliopsida; Solanales; Solanaceae.
AUAGUGCUAGGAAGGUGAAAACUAAGUAAUAUUGGAAAUUACUUAGACAAAUAGAAGUAGCUUAAAAUCUAUCUAACCAUUUCAUAAUUAGUGUAUUUUAUAAAAUGUUCACAAUUAUGCAUGUUAAUAUGGUUGAAAUACUCCCCAAAUAGAAGUUAGUCAUAUAUUAUUAAUGUACCAAACGAAAUUGGGGAAAUAGAACUUCCUGCCCCAUAAAAUGGCUUUUUCCU